GACGAACGCUGGCGGCGUGCUUAACACAUGCAAGUCGAACGCUGAAGCUCAGCUUUUGUUGGGUGGAUGAGUGGCGAACGGGUGAGUAACACGUGAGUAACCUGCCCCCUUCUUUGGGAUAACGCCCGGAAACGGGUGCUAAUACUGGAUAUUCACUGGUCUUCGCAUGGGGGUUGGUGGAAAGGGUUUUUCUGGUGGGGGAUGAGCUCGCGGCCUAUCAGCUUGUUGGUGGGGUGAUGGCCUACCAAGGCUUUGACGGGUAGCCGGCCUGAGAGGGUGACCGGUCACAUUGGGACUGAGAUACGGCCCAGACUCCUACGGGAGGCAGCAGUGGGGAAUAUUGCACAAUGGGCGCAAGCCUGAUGCAGCGACACCGCGUGAGGGAUGGAGGCCUUCGGGUUGUGAACCUCUUUCGCUCAUGGUCAAGCCGCAACAAUGGUUGUGGUGAGGGUAGUGGGUAAAGAAGCGCCGGCUAACUACGUG
This 483-nucleotide ribosomal RNA is filed under the name uncultured bacterium. RNAcentral's name for it is "partial 16S ribosomal RNA". It matches the Rfam family "Bacterial small subunit ribosomal RNA", at positions 28 to 507 of the family's 1533-position model. The record is from RNAcentral.